Molecule: ribosomal RNA, 432 nt
Filed under: uncultured bacterium
Lineage: Bacteria
Description: partial 16S ribosomal RNA
Rfam family: Bacterial small subunit ribosomal RNA
Source: RNAcentral
AACGAACGCUGGCGGCAUGCCUAACACAUGCCAGUCGAACGAGACCUUCGGGUCUAGUGGCGCACGGGUGCGUAACGCGUGGGAACCUGCCCUUGGGUUCGGAAUAACUCCCCGAAAGGGGUGCUAAUACCGGAUAAUGUCUUCGGACCAAAGAUUUAUCGCCUUUGGAUGGGCCCGCGUUAGAUUAGGUAGUUGGGAGGGUAAAAGCCUACCAAGGCGACGAUCCAUAGCUGGUCUGAGAGGAUGAUCAGCCACACUGGGACUGAGACACGGCCCAGACUCCUACGGGAGGCAGCAGUGGUGAAGAUUGGACAAUGGGCGAAAGCCUGAUCCAGCAAGGCCGCGUGAGUGAUGAAGGCCUUAGGGUUGUAAAGCUCUUUUACCCGGGAUGAUAAUGACAGAACCGGGAGAAUAAGCUCCGGUAACCUCCGG